RNAcentral lists this ribosomal RNA (495 nucleotides) under uncultured bacterium. Its description in RNAcentral is "partial 16S ribosomal RNA". It matches the Rfam family "Bacterial small subunit ribosomal RNA", at positions 28 to 507 of the family's 1533-position model. The record is from RNAcentral.
GACGAACGCUGGCGGCGUGCCUAAUACAUGCAAGUAGAACGCUGAAGGAGGAGCUUGCUUCUCCGGAUGAGUUGCGGACGGGUGAGUAACGCGUAGGUAACCUGCCUGGUAGCGGGGGAUAACUAUUGGAAACGAUAGCUAAUACCGCAUAACAGUAGAUGUUGCAUGACAUUUGCUUAAAAGGUGCAAUUGCAUCACUACCAGAUGGACCUGCGUUGUAUUAGCUAGUUGGUGAGGUAACGGCUCACCAAGGCGACGAUACAUAGCCGACCUGAGAGGGUGAUCGGCCACACUGGGACUGGGACACGGCCCAGACUCCUACGGGAGGCAGCAGUAGGGAAUCUUCGGCAAUGGACGGAAGUCUGACCGAGCAACGCCGCGUGAGUGAAGAAGGUUUUCGGAUCGUAAAGCUCUGUUGUAAGAGAAGAACGAGUGUGAGAGUGGAAAGUUCACACUGUGACGGUAUCUUACCAGAAAGGGACGGCUAACUACGUG